Molecule: long non-coding RNA, 1620 nt
Organism: Macaca fascicularis (crab-eating macaque)
Lineage: Eukaryota; Metazoa; Chordata; Mammalia; Primates; Cercopithecidae
Source: Ensembl
AGCAGAGCUCAGGCCACAGCACCUGCACCCAUUUUCUGCUGCUGCACACAAGGGCUCUGUGCAUUCCGCAUCCAGAAAAUGAAAGGAGGAUUACUAACUUUAUGCCAUCUUCAAACCAGAAGAUCUUAGAUUGGUAAGAUCAUGUUGGCCAUGGCAUGGAGAAUGGGCUGGAGAUGGAGAGACUGGAGGUUGGAAGUCCAGUUAGGAGAUUGCUCCUGCGCUGGGGAGUUGGUGUUAGGACAGAAGAUCCAAGACGCAUUUCAGAGGUAACUGCCGAAUCUUACUGGCUGGUUCGCUGUGUGUUUGGGAGUGGGGGUGGAUCAGGAAGAAAUGGGAUAUUUCAGGACUGGCUGCUGGAGGCUGCUUACGAUGUAACGUGGAGCUGGGCUUCCUGCCUGUUCUGUCGCUUCCUGCCACAUUCCAGGCUGCAUCUGUGUGGCUGGGCCCUCUGGGAAGGUCAUAGGGAGUCCUAAUGGGGCAAUGAGCUUCCCAGCUGUUCCCUUGAAGGUCCCCUGCAGAUAUCUGGAUGAAACUCUUGACUGCUGGAAACUUUCAAGAAGGCCUGAGGCGGUCAGAAGCCAAGUUGUGGUUCCAAAAUUUCCGGCCUAUUCACCAAGCCUCCCUGAUGAUGAGAUCUCAAGAUAGAACAAAAACAAGACAACUGGGUGCAAAACGCAGGGUGGAACUGUUGAUAUCCCAGUGUUUCCUGCGAAGUCCUGGCUAAGGAACACAGGGAGGGAAAGGGGACCUAACAGAAGUCAUAGAGCCCAGUCCCUGCCUCCACAAAGGCUUUCCAGGUCAUCCAAACUACGAAAAUUGAACAGAGAGCUAAAUCUCUCAGAUUCUCCAAAGGGGGGAAUCUCUGAUUCUUUUCUUUAAUCAGUCUGCGGUAAGUCCUGAGUACUGACUUUUUUCCCCCUUAGUGUACAACCAGGGUUGAGAACUGAGGGCUACACAAUCUCAGAGACGAUCAGAAUUCAAAGUUAGGAAUGUGCUGGCUCCACGUCUGUCCACUCUUGUGCAGUAACACAGCUGCCUGCCUGUGUACAGGAUGAAAUAUCUUCAGUUCUGUUCCCUGGGAUAGACUGACAGCUGUGGAAUCAAUACUGUGUCUUCUCCUAGGCUAUGUUUCUUGACUCCGCUUACGUGGUUACUGCCAAACCUGGCCCCAGUGCCUUCUUCACACAGCUUUGACAACCAGGGCAAUAUUUCCAGUCAUCUAACAGAAGCUGCUCCUUCUCAGUGAUGUCUUUGGAAAAUUACCAGCAAUUACUAAGCUAGCUAUUGGGAAAUCUUAGGGAUUUACUUUAGCAAGAAUAAAAUGAGGUCUUCUGGUCUGUUAGGACCUCUGUUCCUAAAAUCACAGAACCACCUCUGUGCUCUACAAUGGAAUAGUAUGCAUUCAUUUGCAAGCGUGCUCAGAUAAGACAGCGUCUUUAGGGAGUUUUUAAAAACUUGGGGGAUAGUGCUUAUGAUAUCAUGAAAAAACACAAACACUGUGUAAUUUCAUGUACAUUAAAAAUAGGUGUGAUCAAGUGAAAAGAGACUUUUUACCCUGCCUUCCCCAAGAUCCCACACCCACCCCUAUUUCCCUUCCAAGUGAUUAAAGGAGUCGGUAAC